RNAcentral lists this ribosomal RNA (407 nucleotides) under uncultured prokaryote. RNAcentral describes it as "bacterial SSU rRNA". It matches the Rfam family "Bacterial small subunit ribosomal RNA", at positions 355 to 774 of the family's 1533-position model. The record is from RNAcentral.
UGGGGCAUAUUACACAAUGGGCGCAAGCCUGAUGCAGCAACGCCGCGUGAGGGAUGACGGCCUUCGGGUUGUAAACCUCUUUUAGUAGGGAAGAAGCGUAAGUGACGGUACCUGCAGAAAAAGCACCGGCUAACUACGUGCCAGCAGCCGCGGUAAUACGUAGGGUGCAAGCGUUGUCCGGAAUUAUUGGGCGUAAAGAGCUCGUAGGCGGCUUGUCGCGUCUGCUGUGAAAUCCCGGGGCUCAACUCCGGGCCUGCAGUGGGUACGGGCAAGCUAGAGUGCGGUAGGGGAGAUUGGAAUUCCUGGUGUAGCGGUGGAAUGCGCAGAUAUCAGGAGGAACACCGAUGGCGAAGGCAGAUCUCUGGGCCGUAACUGACGCUGAGGAGCGAAAGCAUGGGGAGCGAACA